AACCUGGUUGAUCCUGCCAGUAGUCAUAUGCUUGACUCAAAGAUUGAAGCCAUGCAUGUCUUAGUGUAAAUAACUCUUAUGAAACUGCGAAUGGCUCAUUAAAUCAGUUAUCGUUUAUUUGAUGGUCCCUUACUACAUGGAUAACCGUAGUAAUUCUAGAGCUAAUACAUGCACAAAGGCCCGACUCACGGAGGGCUGUAUUUAUUACGAUUCAAAGCCGACCUUGUUUUGGUGAUUCAUAAUAACUUUUCGAACCUCAUGCCUUUAUGGUGGAGGUGAUUCAUUCAAAUUUCUGCCCUAUCAACUUUCCGAUGGUAAGCGAUUUGCCUACCAUGGUUGUAACCGGGUAACGGGGAAU
This 358-nucleotide ribosomal RNA is filed under the name uncultured marine eukaryote. RNAcentral describes it as "SSU rRNA". It matches the Rfam family "Eukaryotic small subunit ribosomal RNA", at positions 1 to 370 of the family's 1831-position model. The record is from RNAcentral.